AUGUCCUCCUCCGUCUCCGUCGCGGCGGAGUGGGACCUCCUCUCCGACCGUUUCUACCGCCGCAUCACCAUCUACUCCCCCCUCCCCUGGUCCUCCCCGGCCACCACCACCGCCUCCUCCUCCGGCGGCGGCAGCUCCGGGGUCGGCCGCCUCGACCUCUCGACCCACAUCGUCGCCGCCGCCCCCUUCGGCGGCCCGAUUGCCGCCGUCCGCGACGACUCAAAGAUCGUGCAGCUCCACUCCGAGCCCUCGCGCCGUCGCCUCCUCCUCUUCUCCUCAUCCGGCCACCCACUCGCCUCCUCCCCUUGGACGCCCCACCUCCCCCGCCUCCACUCGCUCGCCUUCUCCAGCUCCCUCAACCUCCUCGCCCUCCUCUCCGAUGGUUCCCUCCUCCGUUUCCGCCUCCCCGAUCUGAAUCCCAUUACUAGCUCCAGCCCCGUGCCCCUGCUGCCGCCUGCCUCAGGCGGCGUCGCGGACGCUGUUUUCUGGGGAGGCGGCGUGGCUAUCCUCACCGAGGACAACCGCGUCGUCGUCACCACCGACAUCGAGGUCGACGACCCGCACCCGCGGGAGCUCGCCGACCCGGGCGUUGCCGAGGACGAGCAAGUGCUGUGUAUGGCCGUGGUGGAGCCACAGUUCGUCAUGUCCGGCAGUCCAGAGGUUCUGCUUGCAGUUGGCGAUCGGGUAGUGGCAGUUGACGAGGAUGGCGUGCAGGUGCUCGGAGAGGCCCUGGAGAUUGGACCCGUGCAGAAAAUGGCGGUGUCACCAAACGGAAAGCUGCUUGCAGCGUUUGCACAUGAUGGGCGCUUGCUCGUAAUCCCCACGGAUUUUUCCAGGAUCAUAUUCGAGUACGAGUGUGAUUCUGCAUUACCACCGGAUCAAAUUGCUUGGUGUGGGUUGGACAGUGUGCUCCUUUACUGGUCUGAAGUGCUUUUGAUGGUUGGACCCAAUGGAGAUCCAGUGCAGUACAAUUAUGAUGAACCUGUAAUGCUCAUUCCAGAGUGUGAUGGUGUAAGAAUCCUCACAAAUUCAAGUAUGGAAUUUCUACACCGAGUUCCAGAUUCUACUACAUUAAUUUUUGGCAUUGGAAGCAUGUCUCCAGCAGCAUUACUGUAUGAUGCUAGAGAUCACUACGACAAACAAAGUGCCAAGGCUUAUGAUAACUAUCAGCUAAUAUCAUCUUCCUUGCCCGAGGCGAUUGAAGCAUGUAUUGAUGCUGCUGGAUAUGAAUUCGAUGUUUCACGCCAACAUACAUUACUGAGAGCUGCGACUUAUGGUCUAGCUUUCUGCAGUCGAUUUCCACACGGACGCUUUCAAGAAAUGUGCAAAAUUUUACGCGUUCUAAAUGCUGUUCGUGACCCUGAGAUUGGAAUGCCGCUUACCGUGAAGCAGUACAAACUGCUUACUGCAACUGUGCUCAUUGGACGUCUAAUUAAUGCUAAUCAGCAUCUUUUGGCACUUCGCAUCUCUGAGUACCUUAACCUAAAUCCGGAGGUUGUGAUUAUGCAUUGGGCAUGUGAGAAGAUAACAGCCUCAGCUGCAAUUCCAGAUGUAGUUCUUCUUGAAGGUUUGCUUGACAAGCUCAGGUUAUGCAAAGGCAUAUCGUAUGCUGCAGUGGCAGCUCAUGCAGAUAACAGUGGCCGGCGAAAGUUGGCUGCCAUGCUCGUUGACCAUGAGUCCCAGUCUUCGAAGCAGAUUCCUUUGUUGCUAAGCAUCGAUGAACAAGACAAAGCAUUACAGAAGUCAAUUGAGAGCGGUGAUACUGAUCUUGUGUACCUUGUGCUUUUCCAUAUCUGGCAGAAGAUAUCUGUAGAAAAGAGUGCUCCUUUGGAUUUUUUUGGUGUAAUCAACGCAAGGCCUUUGGCUAGAGAUUUGUUCAUAGCAUAUGCAAGACACUCUAAGCAUGAAGCUUUGAAGGACUUCUUUCUAUCAACAGGGAGACUCCAAGAUGCUGGCUUCCUUUUGUUGAAGGAGUCGAGAGAAUUAGAGAGGAAUCCAAUGGCAAGCAAGGGGUCUCCUCUCCAUGGUCCACAAGUGAGGCUCGUUGAGCAGGCCCACAGGCUUUUUGCUGAGACCAAAGAACAUCUUUUUGAAUCCAAAUCUGCUGAAGAGCAUGCCAAAUUGCUAAGGGUGCAGCAUCAACUAGAAGUUUCCACGAAGCAAGCAAUAUUUGUUGGUUCUAGUGUCAGUGAUACAAUAAAAACUUGUAUUGUAAUGGGAAAUGAGCGAGCUGCAGUCAAAGUGAAAUCAGAGUUCAAGGUUCCUGAUAAAAGGUGGUACUGGUUGAAGUCGUGUGCUUUAGCAACAGUUGGUAAUUGGGAUGCUUUGGAAACAUUCUCGAGAGAGAAGAGACCACCAGGAGGCUAUAAACCAUUUGUGGAAGCAUGCAUUGAUGCCGGUCAAAAAACUGAAGCUCUCAAAUAUAUUCCAAAAUUAACAGAUCCUGGUGAAAGAUCUGAGGCAUAUGCGCGUCUCAAUAUGACUGAGGAAGCUAAAAAGGCAGCAUCAGAGGCUAACAAUGGCGACGAGCUAUUUGGUCGCCUAAAGAGUACUCUGGCGCAGAAUACUCUUAUCGACACACUACGGGAUCGACUAUCGUUCCAAGGAACGUACUGA
This 2616-nucleotide ribosomal RNA is filed under the name Triticum aestivum (bread wheat). RNAcentral describes it as "partial small subunit ribosomal RNA". Lineage: Eukaryota; Viridiplantae; Streptophyta; Magnoliopsida; Poales; Poaceae. The record is from RNAcentral.